This 559-nucleotide ribosomal RNA is filed under the name uncultured bacterium. Its description in RNAcentral is "bacterial SSU rRNA". It matches the Rfam family "Bacterial small subunit ribosomal RNA", at positions 119 to 674 of the family's 1533-position model. The record is from RNAcentral.
CGGAAUCUGCCUAUUUGUGGGGGAUAACGUAGGGAAACUUACGCUAAUACCGCAUACGACCUACGGGUGAAAGCGGAGGACCUUCGGGCUUCGCGCAGAUAGAUGAGCCGAUGUCGGAUUAGCUAGUUGGCGGGGUAAUGGCCCACCAAGGCGACGAUCCGUAGCUGGUCUGAGAGGAUGAUCAGCCACACUGGAACUGAGACACGGUCCAGACUCCUACGGGAGGCAGCAGUGGGGAAUAUUGGACAAUGGGCGCAAGCCUGAUCCAGCCAUGCCGCGUGGGUGGAGAAGGCCUUCGGGUUGUAAAGCCCUUUUGUUGGGAAAGAAAAGCAGUCGGUUAAUACCCGAUUGUUCUGACGGUACCCAAAGAAUAAGCACCGGCUAACUUCGUGCCAGCAGCCGCGGUAAUACGAAGGGUGCAAGCGUUACUCGGAAUUACUGGGCGUAAAGCGUGCGUAGGUGGUUUGUUAAGUCUGAUGUGAAAGCCCUGGGCUCAACCUGGGAAUUGCAUUGGAUACUGGCAGGCUAGAGUGCGGUAGAGGGUAGUGGAAUUCCCGGU